GUAGCGGCGAGCGAAACGGGAAGAGCCCAAACCAACAAGCUUGCUUGUUGGGGUUGUAGGACACUCUAUACGGAGUUACAAAGGACGACAUUAGACGAAUCAUCUGGAAAGAUGAAUCAAAGAAGGUAAUAAUCCUGUAGUCGAAAAUGUUGUCUCUCUUGAGUGGAUCCUGAGUACGACGGAGCACGUGAAAUUCCGUCGGAAUCUGGGAGGACCAUCUCCUAAGGCUAAAUACUCUCUAGUGACCGAUAGUGAACCAGUACCGUGAGGGAAAGGUGAAAAGCACCCCGGAAGGGGAGUGAAAUAGAACCUGAAACCGUGUGCUUACAAGUAGUCAGAGCCCGUUAAUGGGUGAUGGCGUGCCUUUUGUAGAAUGAACCGGCGAGUUACGAUUUGAUGCAAGGUUAAGCAGUAAAUGUGGAGCCGUAGCGAAAGCGAGUCUGAAUAGGGCGUUUAGUAUUUGGUCGUAGACCCGAAACCAGGUGAUCUACCCUUGGUCAGGUUGAAGUUCAGGUAACACUGAAUGGAGGACCGAACCGACUUACGUUGAAAAGUGAGCGGAUGAACUGAGGGUAGCGGAGAAAUUCCAAUCGAACCUGGAGAUAGCUGGUUCUCUCCGAAAUAGCUUUAGGGCUAGCCUCAAGUGAUGAUUAUUGGAGGUAGAGCACUGUUUGGACGAGGGGCCCCUCUCGGGUUACCGAAUUCAGACAAACUCCGAAUGCCAAUUAAUUUAACUUGGGAGUCAGAACAUGGGUGAUAAGGUCCGUGUUCGAAAGGGAAACAGCCCAGACCACCAGCUAAGGUCCCAAAAUAUAUGUUAAGUGGAAAAGGAUGUGGCGUUGCCCAGACAACUAGGAUGUUGGCUUAGAAGCAGCCAUCAUUUAAAGAGUGCGUAAUAGCUCACUAGUCGAGUGACACUGCGCCGAAAAUGUACCGGGGCUAAACAUAUUACCGAAGCUGUGGAUUGUCCUUUGGACAAUGGUAGGAGAGCGUUCUAAGGGCGUUGAAGCAUGAUCGUAAGGACAUGUGGAGCGCUUAGAAGUGAGAAUGCCGGUGUGAGUAGCGAAAGACGGGUGAGAAUCCCGUCCACCGAUUGACUAAGGUUUCCAGAGGAAGGCUC
This 1120-nucleotide ribosomal RNA is filed under the name Staphylococcus aureus. RNAcentral's name for it is "partial 23S ribosomal RNA". It matches the Rfam family "Bacterial large subunit ribosomal RNA", at positions 243 to 1367 of the family's 2925-position model. The record is from RNAcentral. Lineage: Bacteria; Bacillati; Bacillota; Bacilli; Caryophanales; Staphylococcaceae.